AUAGUAAGUCCUCAAUAAGUUCUAGCAAUUAUUAAAAAAGGAAAGGCUGUCUGCAAACAGGUACAUCCCAGCCUUCUUGCACAUAGAAACACUACACAGCACUUCAGCUGUAUGUUUGGGGGCCAUUUUAAACAGCAAAAUCAUCAACAGGAAGCAGAAAAUUGUAAAAAUUGUGGCACUAAAUAGACCAUGUAAAGGACACAUGUUUGCAAUAAGAAAGCUGAAACAAGAAGGGGGAGUGUCACCUUAUUUGAUCCAGCUAGAAACUCAGGUGCUGGUAUUCCAGCAACACUCAGGCGGCUGCUCCAGGAGGCUGCAGAGGGGUCCUUUUUAGCCGUCAACAAAACUGGCUAUGGUCACGCCCAUUGGGAAACUCAUUGCUGCCUUCAAGGACUCAGAAGCUGUAGGAAUAUUCAGGCACAGACACCAGACCCAGCUUCAUCUCUAACUUGUGGCAAAGGACAGUACAUCCUGGGAUGGGACCCUAUGCUCCCCUAUGCCAUUUAGACAGAGCCUGGGGAGAGUGACUUCCCAGGGUAUCCAUGUUGGAAUCUCUCAUUUGAUUCUUAUUCAAAUUUAGGUUCUGUCAAUAGAAGAUACUAAAGAAAGAAAGCCAGGAGAAGAAAAGGGACUUCUUUCUUCAAGGUCUAAGCUGUUCUAAUAGCAUUAUUCUGGGAAUGGCAUCUUCCACUCCUCCUAGUACAAAGAACCUGCUUCCUCAUACCCCGUCAAGGAACUGCAGCAUCCAGGUGAUGGCCACAGUGGCAGAACCUAGGAAGCCAAGAAGAAACCAGAGAAUGGAGACACAUGGCAGCAAUGGCAAGUCAUCAGACCCAGGAUUUCCCAAAGAACACUGGUCCAGGAAGAUGCUCUGUGAAAAAGUGUUCCCUGGUCGGAGAAAUUUGUGAAACACUUUGCAUAAUACUUAAAAGAAUGUAUGGCACAUCAAAGGUAAUAUGCAAUAAAAGAAUUCAUUUUUUUAAAA
Molecule: long non-coding RNA, 985 nt
Filed under: Homo sapiens (human)
Lineage: Eukaryota; Metazoa; Chordata; Mammalia; Primates; Hominidae
Description: long intergenic non-protein coding RNA 1905
Source: RNAcentral